UACGGGAGGCAGCAGUGGGGAAUAUUGCACAAUGGGCGAAAGCCUGAUGCAGCUAUGCCGCGUGUAUGAAGAAGGCCUUAGGGUUGUAAAGUACUUUCAUCGGGGAGGAAAAAACAAAACUAAUAAUUUUAUUUCUUGACGUUACCCGAAAAAGAAGCACCGGCUAACUCCGUGCCAGCAGCCGCGGUAAUACGGAGGGUGCUAGCGUUAAUCAGAAUUACUGGGCGUAAAGAGCACGUAGGUGGGUUUUUUAAGUCAGAUGUGAAAUCCCUGGGCUUAACCUGGAACUGCAUUUUGAAACUGAAAUACUAGAGUAUCGUAGAGGGAGGUAGAAUUCUAGGUGUAGCGGUGAAAUGCGUAGAUAUCUGGAGGAAUACCUGUGGCGAAAGCGGCCUCCUAAACGAAUACUGACACUGAGGUGCGAAAGCGUGGGGAGCAAACGAGGGAUUAGAUACCCGU
RNAcentral lists this ribosomal RNA (459 nucleotides) under uncultured bacterium. RNAcentral describes it as "bacterial SSU rRNA". It matches the Rfam family "Bacterial small subunit ribosomal RNA", at positions 340 to 789 of the family's 1533-position model. The record is from RNAcentral.